Molecule: RNA transcript, 1605 nt
Organism: Culex quinquefasciatus (southern house mosquito)
Lineage: Eukaryota; Metazoa; Arthropoda; Insecta; Diptera; Culicidae
Gene: Timp
Gene name: tissue inhibitor of metalloproteinase
Exons: 5
Source: RefSeq, a predicted model, not a curated record
CAUAUUCGCGCGAACGCUCAGUUGAGCCAGUAGUAGAGAUUCGAACGUCGUUCCGAUUGGAUGAAAAUUUCCGAGAGCUCGGCGCGUGAGUGAAUUUAAGCACAGAAGCGAGCCUGGUCGGGGACCCCCUAUGGUUUGCCAAUUUGAGGUAUUAUUUUUCGUUCAGAGAGGGUGAGCCAACGAAGAAGGUGUAAGUGUGGGAAAGUGAAAUAUUUUUAAAACUGCAAACCAGCGUCGUGAGGCGUGAACGGAACCAAGGAUUUGCCAGAAGCGGCGGACAAACGGCUUAAACGGCUUGACAGGGGUUCGCGCAUCUGUUCGCGUUUUUAGUGCCACAAGUGAGAAAAAUCAACAGUUGUUGCGAUUUCAGCCAGAAAUCCUGACUGAGUGAGUGAUUGUUGUCACCGUGAGGGAGACGAAAGCGCUGACGCUGCUGUUUUGCACCGCGAGAAAUUGAAGGACGCCGACGCCGACGACUUUUGGAGUGUGUACGCGUGAUAAAAGAUAAACGCAGCACGAUGGCAUUCAAGUGGAAUUCGAAUCCUUACUGUCUGAUGUCUCUGACACUUUUGGUGACGUUAGGAUUCAUGCUGCAGUUGACCCCCACGGAAGCUUGCAGUUGCUUUCCAGAGCACGCCCAAUCAGCCUAUUGCGAAGCAGAUUAUGUAAUUGUUGCACAAAUUGUACGAAAAUCCAAAUUGAAGAGUAACGGUGUAAACGUGUACAAGAUCAACAUCAAAAAAGAAUACAAGAUGAAUCCUCGAGCUCAGAAGUUGCUAAAACAUGGGAAACUUAUCACCCCUGCCAGUGAUUCAAUGUGUGGCUUGCAGCUUGAAGUCAACCAGUUGUAUGCGAUUGCUGCCCAAGAUAUCCACGUGGGCCUCUGCAGCUUUGUUCGCAAGUACUCCGAAAUGACGAUCGUGGAGAAAAGAGGUUUAGCCGGUAUUUACCGGAAGGGCUGUCCGUGCAAGAUAAAGCCAUGCUUCUCGGGCAACUGUAACGUCACGCUUGGAUCUUGCAACUGGACGCCUUGGGAAACCUGUGAAUCGGAGUACGGAUCUUGCAUACCAGCUCGGGGAACACUUCUGGACGGGUCUCCCGCCAAGUGCCACUGGCGCCGAUCUCCAAUGUAUCAAAAGUGUAAAAAUGGCACUCUCGAUUAACGUUCCCAAAAUGUCAAUCUUUUGCGUUGCUGUAAUUAUUGUUCUAUGUGCCCCCAUCCUCGACUACUAUAAUGAUUUAGUAGCUUACUAUUUUGUAUAGUUAUCAAUUUAUGUAAACUAAAAAACAAUUAUUUAUUUUAAAUAUUUGAAAAUACUAUUUAUUUCACAUCCGUGAGUGACUAACUCUUGUAAGUAGCAAUGGAAAACUGGAUGUUCUGCAACAAAAAAACACGUUGAUUUCAUAAUCUAUUCAAACUCGAUACAUCCACGCAGUCUUUCGUUGUUACUCAGAAGCGUAAAAUAUUUACAAAUCUUUCAAAAGCUAUCAAUAUUAGUACAAAUUAAUUGUAUCAUGUAAGUAGUUGCGUAUGGCAACAUUUGUAAUAGUUAUAAAAUAUUUAAGGAGAAAAAAAUAAAAGUAAGAAAUCGGACAGCGAGAAAA